AGUGGCGUACGGGUGAGUAACGCGUGGAUAAUCUACCUCCGAAUCUGGGAUAACACUUCGAAAGGGGUGCUAAUACCGGAUGACAUCAUGGGGACNNNNAGGAGAGUGCGGGAAAAGGGGGCCUCUGUAUAUGCUCCUGUCGCUAGAUGAGUCCGCGUCCCAUUAGCUAGUUGGUAGGGUAAUGGCCUACCAAGGCGACGAUGGGUAGCUGGUCUGAGAGGAUGAUCAGCCACACUGGAACUGAGACACGGUCCAGACUCCUACGGGAGGCAGCAGUGAGGAAUUUUGCGCAAUGGGGGAAACCCUGACGCAGCAACGCCGCGUGAGUGAUGAAGGCCUUCGGGUCGUAAAGCUCUGUCAAGUGGGAAGAACCCUUUUGAGGUAAAUAGCCUCGAGAGCUGACGGUACCAGUGAAGGAAGCACCGGCUAACUCCGUGCCAGCAGCCGCGGUAAUACGGAGGAUCCAAGCGUUAUCCGGAUUUACUGGGUUUAAAGGGUGCGUAGGCGGAUUGAUAAGUCAGUGGUGAAAGCCUGCAGCUUAACUGCAGAACUGCCAUUGAUACUGCCAGUCUGGAGUAUGGUUGAGGUAGCUGGAAUGUGUCAUGUAGCGGUGAAAUGCUUAGAGAUGACACAGAACACCGACGGCGAAGGCAGGUUACCAACCCAUUACUGACGCUGAGGCACGAAAGCGUGGGGAUCAAACAGGAUUAGAUACCCUGGUAGUCCACGCCGUAAACGAUGGGUACUAGGUGUUGCGGGUAUUGACCCCUGCAGUGCCGAAGCUAACGCAUUAAGUACCCCGCCUGGGGAGUACGGUCGCAAGACUAAAACUCAAAGGAAUUGACGGGGGCCCGCACAAGCGGUGGAGCAUGUGGUUUAAUUCGACGCAACGCGAAGAACCUUACCUGGGCUUGACAUCUCCCUCUGAAUGGCGCUUAGCAGCGCAGGUCUUUCGGGACAGAGGAGACAGGUGGUGCAUGGUUGUCGUCAGCUCGUGUCGUGAGAUGUUGGGUUAAGUCCCGCAACGAGCGCAACCCUUGCCUUUAGUUGCCAGCAUGUAAUGAUGGGGACUCUAAAGAGACUGCCGGUGUUAAACCGGAGGAAGGUGGGGAUGACGUCAAGUCCUCAUGGCCCUUAUGUCCAGGGCUACACACGUGCUACAAUGGCCGGUACAAAGGGCAGCAAAGCCGCGAGGUGGAGCCAAUCCCAAAAAGCCGGUCUCAGUUCGGAUUGGAGUCUGCAACUCGACUCCAUGAAGUUGGAAUCGCUAGUAAUCGUGGAUCAGCACGCCACGGUGAAUGCGUUCCCGGGUCUUGUACACACCGCCCGUCACACCAUGGAAGUUGGUAAUACCCAAAGUCGCUGGGCUAACC
Molecule: ribosomal RNA, 1373 nt
Filed under: uncultured bacterium
Lineage: Bacteria
Description: 16S ribosomal RNA
Rfam family: Bacterial small subunit ribosomal RNA
Source: RNAcentral